Molecule: ribosomal RNA, 249 nt
Filed under: uncultured bacterium
Lineage: Bacteria
Description: partial 16S ribosomal RNA
Rfam family: Bacterial small subunit ribosomal RNA
Source: RNAcentral
GCGCGAACCUGAUCAGCACGCCGCGUGAGGGAUGAAGGCCUAGGGUCGUAAACCUCUUUAGGAGGGAAGAAAUUGACGGUACCUCCAAAGAAACCCGGCCAACUACGUGCCAUCAGCCGCGGUAAUACUUAAGGGGCGAGCGUUGUCUUGAAUUAUUGGGCGUAAAGAGCUCAUAUGCUGCUCAGCAAGUCGGCUGUGAAAUCCCGAGGCUCAACCUCGGAACUGCACUCCAUACUGCUGUGGCUAGAU